CCUACGGGUGGCAGCAGUGGGGAAUAUUGCACAAUGGGCGAAAGCCUGAUGCAGCAACGCCGCGUGAAGGAAGAAGGGCUUCGGCUCGUAAACUUCUAUCAACAGGGACGAAAGAAAUGACGGUACCUGAAUAAGAAGCCUCGGCUAACUACGUGCCAGCAGCCGCGGUAAUACGGAGGGGGCAAGCGUUAUCCGGAAGUACUCGGUGUAAAGGGUGAGUAGGGGGCAUGGUAAACCAGAUGUGAAAGCCGUGGGGUUAACCCGAGGAUUGCAUUUGGAACUAGCAAGCUAGAGUACAGGAGAGGAAAGCGGAAUUCGUAGUGUAGCGGUGAAAUGCGUAGAUAUUAGGAAGAACACCGGUGGCGAAGGCAGCUUUCUGGACUGAAACUGACGCUGAGGCACGAAAGCGUGGGGAGCGAACAGGAUUAGAUACCCGAGUAGUC
This 443-nucleotide ribosomal RNA is filed under the name uncultured bacterium. Its description in RNAcentral is "partial 16S ribosomal RNA". It matches the Rfam family "Bacterial small subunit ribosomal RNA", at positions 338 to 795 of the family's 1533-position model. The record is from RNAcentral.